Molecule: ribosomal RNA, 93 nt
Filed under: Peltaster fructicola
Lineage: Eukaryota; Fungi; Ascomycota; Dothideomycetes
Description: partial 28S ribosomal RNA
Rfam family: Eukaryotic large subunit ribosomal RNA
Source: RNAcentral
GUUGACCUCGGAUCAGGUAGGGAUACCCGCUGAACUUAAGCAUAUCAAUAAGCGGAGGAAAAGAAACCAACAGGGAUUGCCCUAGUAACGCGG